RNAcentral lists this ribosomal RNA (406 nucleotides) under uncultured bacterium. Its description in RNAcentral is "partial 16S ribosomal RNA". It matches the Rfam family "Bacterial small subunit ribosomal RNA", at positions 30 to 526 of the family's 1533-position model. The record is from RNAcentral.
AUUGAACGCUGGCGGCAUGCCUAAUACAUGCAAGUCGAACGAGUGGCGGACGGGUGAGCAAUGUCUGGGAAACUGGCUGACGGAGGGGGAUAACUACUGGAAACGGUAGAUAAUACCGCUAACCAUCCGAUGUGCCCAGAUGGGAUUAGCUUGUGGGUGGGGUAACGGCUCACCAAGGAGACGAUCCCUAGCGGGUCUGAGAGGCUGACCAGCCACACUGUAACUGAGACACGGUCCAGACUCCUACGGGAGGCAGCAGUGGGGAAUAUUGCACAAUGGGCGCAAGCCUGAUGCAGCCAUGCCGCGUGUAUGAAGAAGGCCUUCGGGUUGUAAAGUACUUUCAGCGGGGAGGCGUUAUCCGAAGAAGAAGCACCGGCUAACUCCGUGCCAGCAGCCGCGGUAAUUC